This 488-nucleotide ribosomal RNA is filed under the name uncultured beta proteobacterium. RNAcentral describes it as "bacterial SSU rRNA". It matches the Rfam family "Bacterial small subunit ribosomal RNA", at positions 94 to 578 of the family's 1533-position model. The record is from RNAcentral. Lineage: Bacteria; Pseudomonadati; Pseudomonadota; Betaproteobacteria.
AGUCGCGAACGGGUGAGUAAUGCAUCGGAACGUACCCAGUUGUGGGGGAUAACCUACCGAAAGGUAGGCUAAUACCGCAUGAGCUCGGAGGAGGAAAGCGGGGGACCGCAAGGCCUCGCGCGACUGGAGCGGCCGAUGUCCGAUUAGCUAGUUGGUGAGGUAAAGGCUUACCAAGGCGACGAUCGGUAGCUGGUCUGAGAGGAUGAUCAGCCACACUGGGACUGAGACACGGCCCAGACUCCUACGGGAGGCAGCAGUGGGGAAUUUUGGACAAUGGGGGCAACCCUGAUCCAGCCAUGCCGCGUGAGUGAAGAAGGCCUUCGGGUUGUAAAGCUCUUUCGGUGGGAACGAAACGGGCGCGGUGAAUAUCCGCGUUCAAUGACGGUACUCACAGAAGAAGCACCGGCUAACUACGUGCCAGCAGCCGCGGUAAUACGUAGGGUGCGAGCGUUAAUCGGAAUUACUGGGCGUAAAGCGUGCGCAGGCGG